AGCUGGGUCCUGCUCAAUGGGAUGCUACCGAAUUCGGUCAGGUCUGGAAGGAAGCAGCCGUAGGUAUGUAUUCCCGUGUGCUGCAGGGAAGCCUGGCUGGA
Molecule: signal recognition particle RNA, 101 nt
Filed under: Candidatus Hydrogenedentota bacterium
Lineage: Bacteria; Pseudomonadati; Candidatus Hydrogenedentota
Description: Candidatus Hydrogenedentes bacterium signal recognition particle sRNA small type
Rfam family: Bacterial small signal recognition particle RNA
About the family: The signal recognition particle (SRP) is a universally conserved ribonucleoprotein involved in the co-translational targeting of proteins to membranes.
Source: RNAcentral